This 776-nucleotide ribosomal RNA is filed under the name uncultured Neocallimastigales. RNAcentral describes it as "partial large subunit ribosomal RNA". It matches the Rfam family "Eukaryotic large subunit ribosomal RNA", at positions 1 to 621 of the family's 3401-position model. The record is from RNAcentral. Lineage: Eukaryota; Fungi; Neocallimastigomycota; Neocallimastigomycetes; Neocallimastigales.
UUACUAGAGUAGCACUCGCAUAUCAAUAAGCGGAGGAAAAGAAACUAACAAGGAUUCCCCUAGUAACGGCGAGUGAAGCGGGAAGAGCUCAAAUUUGAAAUCUUAAAGGGUUUCCCUUUACGAAUUGUAGUUUAAAGAAGUGUUUUCUGUUGAGGUUUUGGUAAAAGUUCUUUGGAAUAGGACAUCAUAGAGGGUGAGAAUCCCGUAUUUGACCUUUACUUUCAACUUUGUGAUACACUUUCAAAGAGUCGGAUUGUUUGGGAAUGCAGUCCAAAAUGGGUGGUAAAUUUCAUCUAAAGCUAAAUAUUGGCGAGAGACCGAUAGCGAACAAGUACCGUGAGGGAAAGAUGAAAAGAACUUUGAAAAGAGAGUUAAACAGUACGUGAAAUUGUCAAAAGGGAAGCGUUUGACACCAGUGUUGUUUUUCUGAAAAUCAAUUAAAGAACUGUUUAUGCUAAGUUGUUUAGACUUUAUCAGCUAUCUGCUUAGUUUUGAGCUUUUCUUUAAUGCACUUUUCAGUUAACAAGUCAACAUCAAUUUCUUUUGCUGUAAAAAGGCUUGAGGAAGGUGGCUUGAGAUUCGUCUUAAGUGUUUAUAGCCUCUUGCCUAUGCAGUCGGAGAGAUUGAGGUCUGCAGCGUAGAUCCUUCGGGGCUAAAUGCAUUUGUGCUAAGUUAUAGCAUUUCUAUAGACAACUUGUUGACUAUGAUUUGUCUUGUAGCUUACUCGCUUAUGUUAUUUUACCUACGCUUAGGAUGUUGAACUCUAUCACACACAG